UAAAGGGACUCUCGUCUGGACUAUCGUCUGACAACUUCUCUCCCACCUCUCUCCCUGUCACCGGCUGAAAAAAAGCACCCCCAGUGGAAAGAGAUACUUGUGAGCACGUCUCCUCCGGGUACCUGGGCCUCUCAGUUUGUUCUUUCAGACUCACGCCUGACUGGUGUUCCCCAGGCCCCAGAAGUGGCAAAGUCACUGUCAUGCAUCACGACCAUCCCAUCCUGAUGCAUCAGGGCUCCAUCCACGGCAGGCUUUCCAGGAAGAACGCGGCCUUAGGAAGAAGCAGAGCCCGGAAGCUGGCCGUGUGCACCUGCCUUCGGGCAACGAGCUCUCGGAUUCUGAUGUCAGCUUUCAUCUAAAACAUUUCUGAGUGAACAUCCUACAUGAAAGAUUUGUAAGGAGAACCAAUCUGCCAUGGACCCUGUGUGAGCCUGCAUCUUCUUGCGAGGUGGGCCAAGAGUGCAAGGCUUGGCUGGACUUUAUCUAGGCCAGAUAUGUUUGCAGCAGCCAUUCUGAGAGAUGAGGAAUGUAGCCCACCGCAUGCACCAGGAUGCAUUCUGGACCCUUAGCCUGGCCCCAUGGGAAUGAUGGGACUCAUGGUGAGCCUGCACAAACCAGCAUGAAGCUCUGCAACUCUUCGCUGUGAGUAAGAAAGUUACUGGUCUCUGAUCCAGGAGUCUCGUGUCUUCUAGCAGCAUCCAGAAACAGUCGCAUGGUAGCUUGCUAAUUUGUAAGUAGGACAAAAUCUUGGGUCCUUCACACAUUCUGCAUCAUUCCUGACAGGACGGUGGCUGGUUGGCAAACUUGGCGCUAAAGAACAUGGGCCACUGUCCUAGACAAGGAGUGACUGGUCUCCAAGAGGGAGGGAGAGAGUAGGGGCUAGUGGGCGAGACAUCACUGAAUUUCAGUUGAAGGAGGUUUUCAGUGGAAAACCUUAUGGCUUCCAUAAGGUUUCAAGGUGGGGCAAAAGAGGGAUGGGAGGAGGGGGUAAGAGGAUAGGGUGAGGCUGGCAGGGCAGAUGGAUGGGGCACGCUCCAGUCCUUCAGUUUUUAUAAAAAUAGAUCGACAGGCAUCUUCCGGAGGUCACAUGUCAUUCGCACUUUUGUAGUACUUCGAGAUAUAAGCCCAGGGUAAUAUGUAUCAGUAGGAGACAUCAAAUCGUAUUUUCAAUAUUCAGUGUCUUGGUAAUUUAAAAGUGAAUAACCAUCUUC
Long non-coding RNA from Felis catus (domestic cat), 1211 nucleotides. RefSeq lists it as uncharacterized. The record is from RefSeq and is a predicted model, not a curated record. The transcript is spliced from 3 exons. Lineage: Eukaryota; Metazoa; Chordata; Mammalia; Carnivora; Felidae.